GAUGAAGAACGUAGCGAAAUGCGAUACUUGGUGUGAAUUGCAGAAUCCCGUGAACCAUCGAGUCUUUGAACGCAAGUUGCGCCCGAAGCCAUCAGGUUGAGGGCACGUCUGCCUGGGCGUCACAUAUCGUUGCCCAAUGCCUAUUGCAGUGCAAUAGGAAUUUCUAGGGCGAAUGAUGGCUUCCCGUGAGCGUUGUUGCCUCGCGGUUGGUUGAAAAUCGAGUCCUUGGUAGGGUGUGCCAUGGUAGAUGGUGGUCGAGUUAGAACGAUACCGAUCAUGUGCAUGCUCCCCAAAAUAUGGCCUCUAUGACCCACACGCGUCUUUUGACGCUCAUGACGAGACCUCAGGUCAGGCGGGGCUACCCGCUGUAUUUAAGCAUAUCAAUAAGCGGAGGA
RNAcentral lists this unclassified non-coding RNA (395 nucleotides) under soil metagenome. RNAcentral describes it as "partial contains 5.8S ribosomal RNA, internal transcribed spacer 2, and large subunit ribosomal RNA". The stretch from base 1 to 122 matches the Rfam family "5.8S ribosomal RNA", at positions 35 to 154 of the family's 154-position model. The record is from RNAcentral.